This 478-nucleotide ribosomal RNA is filed under the name uncultured bacterium. Its description in RNAcentral is "partial 16S ribosomal RNA". It matches the Rfam family "Bacterial small subunit ribosomal RNA", at positions 28 to 507 of the family's 1533-position model. The record is from RNAcentral.
GACGAACGCUGGCGGCGUGCUUAACACAUGCAAGUCGAACGGGAUUUAGUAGACAGAAGCCUCGGCUAAAGAUUACUAAUGAGAGUGGCGAACGGGUGAGUACCGCGUGCGCAGCCUGCCUCUGACAGUGGGAUAGCCUCGGGAAACCGGGAUUAAUACCGCAUAAAAUGGUAGGAACACAUGUUUUAACGGUCAAAGAUUUAUCGGUCAUAGAUGGGCUCGCGUCUGAUUAGCUAGUUGGUGAGAUAACAGCUCACCAAGGCGACGAGCAGUAGCCGGUCUGAGAGGAUGAACGGCCGCAUUGGAACUGAGACACGGUCCAAACUCCUACGAGAAGCAGCAGUGGGGAAUAUUGCACAAUGGGGGAGAUCCUGAUGCAGCGAGGCCGCGUUAACGAAGAAGGUAUUCGAAUCGUAAAUUUCUGUGCUAUGAGAAGAUAAUGACAGUACCAUGAAAGAAAGCUCCGGCUAACUACGUG